This 761-nucleotide ribosomal RNA is filed under the name Escherichia coli. RNAcentral's name for it is "partial 23S ribosomal RNA". It matches the Rfam family "Bacterial large subunit ribosomal RNA", at positions 2068 to 2833 of the family's 2925-position model. Lineage: Bacteria; Pseudomonadati; Pseudomonadota; Gammaproteobacteria; Enterobacterales; Enterobacteriaceae. The record is from RNAcentral.
ACCCGCGGCAAGACGGAAAGACCCCGUGAACCUUUACUAUAGCUUGACACUGAACAUUGAGCCUUGAUGUGUAGGAUAGGUGGGAGGCUUUGAAGUGUGGACGCCAGUCUGCAUGGAGCCGACCUUGAAAUACCACCCUUUAAUGUUUGAUGUUCUAACGUUGACCCGUAAUCCGGGUUGCGGACAGUGUCUGGUGGGUAGUUUGACUGGGGCGGUCUCCUCCUAAAGAGUAACGGAGGAGCACGAAGGUUGGCUAAUCCUGGUCGGACAUCAGGAGGUUAGUGCAAUGGCAUAAGCCAGCUUGACUGCGAGCGUGACGGCGCGAGCAGGUGCGAAAGCAGGUCAUAGUGAUCCGGUGGUUCUGAAUGGAAGGGCCAUCGCUCAACGGAUAAAAGGUACUCCGGGGAUAACAGGCUGAUACCGCCCAAGAGUUCAUAUCGACGGCGGUGUUUGGCACCUCGAUGUCGGCUCAUCACAUCCUGGGGCUGAAGUAGGUCCCAAGGGUAUGGCUGUUCGCCAUUUAAAGUGGUACGCGAGCUGGGUUUAGAACGUCGUGAGACAGUUCGGUCCCUAUCUGCCGUGGGCGCUGGAGAACUGAGGGGGGCUGCUCCUAGUACGAGAGGACCGGAGUGGACGCAUCACUGGUGUUCGGGUUGUCAUGCCAAUGGCACUGCCCGGUAGCUAAAUGCGGAAGAGAUAAGUGCUGAAAGCAUCUAAGCACGAAACUUGCCCCGAGAUGAGUUCUCCCUGACUCCUUGAGA